GCGCCCGUAGCUCAAUUGGAUAGAGCAUCUGAUUACGGAUCAGAAGGUUGGGGAUUCGAGUUCUCCCGGGCGUGCCA
Molecule: transfer RNA, 77 nt
Filed under: Acidobacteriota bacterium
Lineage: Bacteria; Pseudomonadati; Acidobacteriota
Also listed under: 2 other names
Description: Acidobacteria bacterium tRNA-Arg
Rfam family: tRNA
About the family: Transfer RNA (tRNA) molecules are approximately 80 nucleotides in length. Their secondary structure includes four short double-helical elements and three loops (D, anti-codon, and T loops).
Source: RNAcentral